CGAGUGGCGAACGGGUGAGUAAUACAUCGGAACGUGUCCGCUCGUGGGGGACAACCAGCCGAAAGGUUGGCUAAUACCGCAUGAGUUCUACGGAAGAAAGAGGGGGACCCGCAAGGGCCUUUCGCGAGCGGAGCGGCCGAUGACUGAUUAGCCGGUUGGUGAGGUAACGGCUCACCAAAGCAACGAUCAGUAGCUGGUCUGAGAGGACGACCAGCCACACUGGGACUGAGACACGGCCCAGACUCCUACGGAAGGCAGCAG
Molecule: ribosomal RNA, 261 nt
Filed under: uncultured bacterium
Lineage: Bacteria
Description: partial 16S ribosomal RNA
Rfam family: Bacterial small subunit ribosomal RNA
Source: RNAcentral